AGAGUUUGAUCCUGGCUCAGAGCGAACGUUGGCGGGAUGUUUUAAGCAUGCAAGUCGAGCGGAAAGGUCCUUCGGGAUACUCGAGCGGCGAACUGGUGAGUAACGCGUAGAUUAUCUGCCUCAUAGACUGGGAUAGCCAUUGGAAACAGUGAUUAAUACCGGAUAUUGUCUUUCGAGAUGAAAGGCGCGUUUGCGCCACUAUGAGAUGAGUCUGCGUCCUAUUAGCUUGUUGGUGGGGUAAUGGCCUACCAAGGCGACGAUAGGUAGCCGGCCUGAGAGGGUGAACGGCCACAUUGGGACUGAGAUACGGCCCAGACUCCUACGGGAGGCAGCAGCUAAGAAUAUUCCGCAAUGGGCGAAAGCCUGACGGAGCAAUCCCGCGUGAGUGAUGAAGGCCCUCGGGUCGUAAAACUCUUUCGGCAGGGAAGAAUAAGAUCAGGAGGAAAUGCCUGGUCGAUGACGGUACCUGCAGAAGAAGCACCGACUAAUUACGUGCCAGCAGUCGCGGUAAUACGUAAGGUGCAAACGUUGCUCGGAAUUACUGGGCGUAAAGGGUGCGCAGGCGGCCGAAAAAGUUAGUGGUGAAAACCUGGAGCUCAACUCCAGGCCUGCCAUUAAUACUGUUUGGCUAGAGUUACAAUAGAGGCAGCAGGAAUUUCUAGUGUAGGAGUGAAAUCUGUAGAUAUUAGAAGGAACACCAAUGGCGAAGGCAAGCUGCUGGGUAGUGACUGACGCUAAUGCACGAAAGCCAGGGGAGCGAAUGGGAUUAGAGACCCCAGUAGUCCUGGCCGUAAACUAUGUAUACUAGUUUUUGGAUCUGUUUAUAGAUUAAGAAACGAAGCAAACGCGUUAAGUGUACCGCCUGGGGAGUAUGCACGCAAGUGUGAAACUCAAAGGAAUUGACGGGGGCUCGCACAAGCGGUGGAGCAUGUGGUUUAAUUCGAUGAUAAGCGAAAAACCUUACCUGGGCUUGAACGUGUAGUGACAGCCGAUGAAAGUCGGUUUCCCUUCGGGGCACUAUGCGAGCUGCUGCAUGGCUGUCGUCAGCUCGUGUUGUGAAAUGUUGGGUUAAGUCCCGCAACGAGCGCAACCCUUGUCCUAUGUUGCUAAGUAUCUUUCGGGAUACAGGACUCUUAGGAAACUGCCGAGGUUAACUCGGAGGAAGGCGGGGAUGACGUCAAGUCCUCAUGGCCCUUAUGUCCAGGGCUACACACGUGCUACAAUGGAAUGCACAGAGGGAUGCAAGAUCGCAAGGUUUAGCAAAUCCCAAAAAACAUUUCUCAGUUCGGAUUGUAGUCUGCAACCCGACUACAUGAAGCUGGAAUCGCUAGUAAUCACAGAUC
Molecule: ribosomal RNA, 1343 nt
Filed under: metagenome
Description: bacterial SSU rRNA
Rfam family: Bacterial small subunit ribosomal RNA
Source: RNAcentral